GGGGAUUCGGCUCAGUGGUAGAGCACUUGCCUAGCAAGCACAAGGCCCUGGGUUCGGUCCCCAGCUCCA
Molecule: transfer RNA, 69 nt
Filed under: Rattus norvegicus (Norway rat)
Lineage: Eukaryota; Metazoa; Chordata; Mammalia; Rodentia; Muridae
Rfam family: tRNA
About the family: Transfer RNA (tRNA) molecules are approximately 80 nucleotides in length. Their secondary structure includes four short double-helical elements and three loops (D, anti-codon, and T loops).
Source: Rfam by way of RNAcentral